This is a long non-coding RNA of Helianthus annuus (common sunflower), 430 nucleotides long. RefSeq lists it as uncharacterized. The transcript has 2 exons. NCBI's taxonomy places the organism in Eukaryota, Viridiplantae, Streptophyta, Magnoliopsida, Asterales, Asteraceae. The record is from RefSeq and is a predicted model, not a curated record.
UAUGUUAUAUAUGAAUUUCUAAAUUAAGAUCAAAGGGAUUUAUGUUAAAUUAUUAUACACUUAUAAUUAAUGUAAUUUAAAUUUUCCAACCCGGGACGUAGAGCAACUAGAAGACCUAGAAGUGCUCCACCUGAUUUGCUACUGUUGAGUGAGUAGGUGCUUGAUGUCAAGCGGAUGAAUGGCCUUACAACUGAUCCACAAAUGCUUGAUGUCGCUUCAGAUAACGUCAGAAGGGAGGCAUCCACCAUCUCCCAUAAUGUCAGUGAAACAAGUUAUUUCUUCUCUUUAUUUAGUUGAUUAUUUUGAAUGGGUUAUUGUGCUUAAGGCUCUUAUAUGUACUUCAUGUUGUUUUGUUAUCAAAUUUGGUUCAAUAACCAACAAUCCAUAGCCUAUCUGUCUAUUUAAAUUAGAUCGGACAUGCUUCGAUGAA